This 1439-nucleotide ribosomal RNA is filed under the name Oscillatoria salina. Its description in RNAcentral is "bacterial SSU rRNA". It matches the Rfam family "Bacterial small subunit ribosomal RNA". The record is from RNAcentral. Lineage: Bacteria; Bacillati; Cyanobacteriota; Cyanophyceae; Oscillatoriales; Oscillatoriaceae.
GGGGGCCACCCAUUGCUGGGUCCCCCAUCUGGGGCGGCAUGAAAGUUUGCUCCUACUUACUAAUGAAUCCCUGUCGAAUCUGCGUUAACAGAUGAUAAGAUGCACCGGGUUUCCUCCGACGUCAGACGGCGGCGGGUUGAACAACAUACUGAUAAUCCACUCUGAAUGAUGGGGAUAACUGUUGAAACCGAAGGCUAGUUCUCGAUAUUUGUAGGGUGAAAGGGCAAGCUUCCUAUUGAAUACCUCCUCUCAAAUUAGUUACCUGGGAGGUAAAAACCUGCCCAAGGUAACUGUCGGUAGUUGGUCUGAAAUGACGAGCAGCCAUACUGUUACUGAGAGACUGCGCAGAUUGCCCCUGGAGGCUGCACUGGGGAAUUUGCCACAAGGUGUCUACUGCGUGACAGAACAAAAGGCGGAGGCCCCCACGAAGGCCCUGGGGUUAUACACUCCUUUCCCCGGGAAACAACAUUUGUAUGUUCCCGGGGCAGAAAAUCCCCCCCCUCCUUCCGUGGUGCCAUCCCCUAAAUUACCAAGACGGCAAUCCGUUAUUUGGAAUUAUCUGUCCGGUAAUAGGUGUACCUCAGUGUGGAGGCAUCCGCUCUCCAUUCUCGCGUGGGGCCCUUCCCCCCGAAGCGGUUGUGGAAAUUGAACAGUUGGAGUGUGGAACGGGCCCAGGGAAUUCCCAUGUAGCGGUGAAGUGGGAUCAGGUUGGAAAGAACCCCCUCUGCCACCCCCUGUGCUUAUGCCGAUUUAAAGUAAGGCCUUAUACCUCUGGCACGCUACGGGAUGAUUAACCCUGGGUGCUACUCUAACGUAUCGAACUAGGUGGGCCUACAAUUACCCGGACCUUGCAGAUUACGCCCUCUUAUCCGCUUGGGAAUUGCAGCCAACGGAACUCCAUGAAUUGGUGGGGGCCACCCCCCUAGAAUAGUUUUUCAAAAAGUCAAAUUAGCGCUUGAAAUGGGCCCCGAAUCGGGGUCUAAUUCCCAGGGCGUGGUGGAGAUGAGUCGGGAGCGCGAACCCAAGGUGGUGCAUGGCUUUCGUCAGGGGCCCGUUUCGUGAGAUGUUGGGUUAAGUCCCCAACGAGGGCAACCCCCGUUUUAGUUGCCAUCAUUAAGUUGGGCACUCUAGAGAGACUGCCGUGGACAACACGGAGGAAGGGGUGGACGACGUCAAGUCAUCAUGCCCCUUACGUUUUGGGCUACACCCGUCCUACAAUGCUAAAGACAGAGGGCAGCGAGCCCCCGAGUGCAAGCAAAUCCCAAAAACUGUGGCUCAGUUCAGUUGCAGGCUGCAACUCGCCUGCAUGAAGGCGGGAAACGCUAGUAAUCGCAGGUCAGCAAACUGGGGUGAAUACGUUCCCGGGCCUUUUAAACACCGCCCGUCACACCAAAAUGGGAGUUGGCCACGCCCGAAGUCGUUACUAACCGUUCGCGGAG